CCGACGGGGGACAGCAGGAGAGAAUCAGGAACAAUGGGGGAAAGAAGGAGGGUGCGACGCCGCGUGGGGGAAUGAAGGUCUUCGGAUUGUAAACCCCUGUCAUGUGGGAGCAAAUUAAAAAGAUAGUACCACAAGAGGAAGAGACGGCUAACUCUGUGCCAGCAGCCGCGGUAAUACAGAGGUCUCAAGCGUUGUUCGGAAUCACUGGGCGUAAAGCGUGCGUAGGCUGUUUCGUAAGUCGUGUGUGAAAGGCGCGGGCUCAACCCGCGGACGGCACAUGAUACUGCGAGACUAGAGUAAUGGAGGGGGAACCGGAAUUCUCGGUGUAGCAGUGAAAUGCGUAGAUAUCGAGAGGAACACUCGUGGCGAAGGCGGGUUCCUGGACAUUAACUGACGCUGAGGCACGAAGGCCAGGGGAGCGAAAGGGAUUAGAUACCCCUGUAGUC
This 446-nucleotide ribosomal RNA is filed under the name uncultured bacterium. RNAcentral describes it as "partial 16S ribosomal RNA". It matches the Rfam family "Bacterial small subunit ribosomal RNA", at positions 338 to 795 of the family's 1533-position model. The record is from RNAcentral.